CCCUUAGAUGUUCUGGGCUGCACGCGCGCUACACUGAUGCACUCAACGAGUUUACGACCUUGCCCGAUAGGGUUGGGUAAUCUUUUUAAAAUGCAUCGUGAUGGGGAUAGAUUGUUGCAAUUAUUAAUCUUCAACGAGGAAUUCCUAGUAAGCGCGAGUCAUCAGCUCGUGCUGAUUACGUCCCUGCCCUUUGUACACACCGCCCGUCGCUCCUACCGAUUGAGUGCUCAGGUGAAUAAUUCGGACUGCAGCAAUGUUUGGAUCCCGAACGUUGCAGCGGAAAGUUUAGUGAACCUUAUCACUUAGAGGAAGGAGAAGUCGUAACA
This 326-nucleotide ribosomal RNA is filed under the name uncultured eukaryote. RNAcentral's name for it is "partial 18S ribosomal RNA". It matches the Rfam family "Eukaryotic small subunit ribosomal RNA", at positions 1470 to 1796 of the family's 1831-position model. The record is from RNAcentral.